RNAcentral lists this ribosomal RNA (1264 nucleotides) under metagenome. RNAcentral's name for it is "SSU rRNA". It matches the Rfam family "Eukaryotic small subunit ribosomal RNA", at positions 492 to 1801 of the family's 1831-position model. The record is from RNAcentral.
CUUCCAGUCCUUACGGGAUUGCAAUGAGAACAAUUUAAAUCACUUAACGAGGAUCAAUUGGAGGGCAAGUCUGGUGCCAGCAGCCGCGGUAAUUCCAGCUCCAAUAGUUUAUAUUAAAGUUGUUGCAGUUAAAAAGCUCGUAGUUGAACUUCUGGCUGCGCGCAGUUCGGCGUUCUCGCCAGCUGCGUUCGCAGUCAUCCGUCUGCAAACUCCGAACAACCUUCAGUGGCUUGGCGGGGGGAGUAGACAUUUUACUUUGAAAAAAUUAGAGUGUUUCAAGCAGGUUAUUGCCAGAAUACUUUAGCAUGGAAUAAUGGAAUAGGACUCUUGUCCAUUUGGUUGGUUAUUGGACCAGAGUAAUGAUUAACAGGGACAGUUGGGGGCAUUAGUAUUUAAUUGUCAGAGGUGAAAUUCAUGGAUUUAUUAAAGACUAACUUAUGCGAAAGCAUUUGCCAAGGAUGUUUUCAUUAAUCAAGAACGAAAGUUAGGGGAUCAAAGACGAUCAGAUACCGUCCUAGUCUUAACUAUAAACGAUGUCGACUCGGGAUUGGAAAGGUAUGUGUAUCCUUUCCAGCACCGUAUGAGAAAUCAUUAAGUCUUUGGAUUCUGGGGGGAGUAUGGUCGCAAGGCUGAAACUUAAAGGAAUUGACGGAAGAGCACCACCAGGCGUGGGACCUGCGGCUUAAUUUGACCCAACACGGGAAAACUUAUUUCAGCAAAACAUGAGUGGGAUUGACAGAUUGAGAGCUCUUUCUUGAUUUUAUGGGGUGUGGUGCAUGGCCGUUCUUAGUUGGUGGAGUGAUUUGUCUGGUUAAUUCCGUUAACGAACGAGACCUUAACCUGCUAACUAGUCAGCGCGUUAACCUACGCACUGUACUUCUUAGAGGGACUAUGGGUAAUAAGCCCAUGGAAGUUUGAGGCAAUAACAGGUCUGUGAUGCCCAUAGAUGUUGAAAGCGGCACGCGCGUCAUACUGUCCAGUAACAGCAAGUUUACUUCCUCUCCCGGCAGGGUAGGGGUAAUCUACAAAACUGAACGUGGUAGGGAUAGAUCUUUGGAAUUAUAGAUCUUGAACGAAGAAUGCCUAGUAAGUACAAGUCAUCAACUUGUGCUGAUUACGUCCCUGUCCUUUGUACACACCGCCCGUCGCUCCUACCGAUUUCGAGCGAUAUGGUGAAUCUCCUGGACCGUGGAGCUCCUCGUGGGCCUCGUGGAAAGUUUAGUAAACCUUAUCGCUUAGAGGAAGGAAAAGUCGUAACAAGGUA